RNAcentral lists this ribosomal RNA (880 nucleotides) under uncultured bacterium. Its description in RNAcentral is "bacterial SSU rRNA". It matches the Rfam family "Bacterial small subunit ribosomal RNA", at positions 22 to 916 of the family's 1533-position model. The record is from RNAcentral.
GCUCAGAGUUAACGUUGGCGGCGUGCCUAACACAUGCAAGUCGAACGCGCCGUAGCAAUACGGUGAGUGGCGAACGGGUGAGUAACACGUGGGUAAUCUUCCUUCAAGUGGGGAAUAAGCUCUCGAAAGGGAGUCUAAUACCGCAUGACGUUCCGGGACAUAAGUCCCGUAAUUAAAGCCGCAAGGCGCUUGAAGAUGAGCCUGCGUCCUAUUAGCUAGUUGGUAGGGUAACGGCCUACCAAGGCUGAGAUGGGUAGCCGGCCUGAGAGGGUGAACGGCCACACUGGAACUGAGACACGGUCCAGACUCCUACGGGAGGCAGCAGUGAGGAAUUUUGCGCAAUGGGGGAAACCCUGACGCAGCGACGCCGCGUGGAGGACGAAGGCCUUCGGGUCGUAAACUCCUGUCAGAGGUGAAGAAUACCCGCAAGGGUUUGACGGUAACCUCAGAGGAAGCCCCGGCUAACUACGUGCCAGCAGCCGCGGUAAUACGUAGGGGGCAAACGUUACUCGGAAUUACUGGGCGUAAAGGGUGCGUAGGCGGCUGGGAAAGUCAAGGAUGAAAUCCCGUGGCUUAACUGCGGAACUGUCCUUGAAACUUCCCAGCUUGAGGAUAAUCGAAGAGAACGGAAUUCCCGGUGGAGCGGUGAAAUGCGUAGAUAUCGGGAGGAACACCUGAGGCGAAAGCGGUUCUCUAGACUACUCCUGACGCUGAGGCACGAAAGCUAGGGGAGCAAACGGGAUUAGAUACCCCGGUAGUCCUAGCCAUCAACGAUGGAUACUGGAUAUUCCUGCACUCAUGUGGGAGUGUCGAAGCUAACGCGUUAAGUAUCCCGCCUGGGGAGUACGGUCGCAAGAUUGAAACUCAAAUGAAUUGACGG